UUAUUGGUUACCUAUGGUUUUUCUUGUAUUCAAUACCAAUUGUUAAUUAACAUAAUCUUAUUUUCCUUGCGAGGGGUUUACUGGACGCCUAUUUUGUUUCUAAAUGGAUUUGCCUUACCCGACAAGGGUUCGCCUCCAGACUACCAAGGAUGGAAAGGAAUCAUCGAUCCGUUACUAGCGAAGAAGGUGGAGAUUGCUGAGGAGCCUCCUGUACAUUUCUUCCUAUGAGUACAUUGCUCUGUGAAUAUCUGUUUAUUUUCCUCGCGCAUCCAUUCAUGUUGGUUUGUAUGAAGACAAAAAAAUAUUUGUUCUUAAUUUCCAAAUAAUGCUAAAAUUUUGUGGAUAUUGCCUGAGAGAAAGUGGUAUAUAUCCUUGUGGCCUUGAGAACAAUAGGGUAUUUUUGUCACAGUUGAUCCUUUCUGUCGACUUUCAUGUGCAUGUCAACCAAUCUUUCCUGGGUAAUAUCGUGCUGUGUUUGGUUGCAAUUUGAAUUCCUAUACCUUCGCUAAUUGACUUUUGCUUUCAACAUAGACCGGAAGUUUCUUGAUGACAAAGGAAGCAAAAGAAUUCAUAAAG
RNAcentral lists this long non-coding RNA (576 nucleotides) under Olea europaea subsp. europaea. The record is from RNAcentral. Lineage: Eukaryota; Viridiplantae; Streptophyta; Magnoliopsida; Lamiales; Oleaceae.